Long non-coding RNA from Oncorhynchus gorbuscha (pink salmon), 1170 nucleotides. RefSeq lists it as uncharacterized. The record is from RefSeq and is a predicted model, not a curated record. Lineage: Eukaryota; Metazoa; Chordata; Actinopteri; Salmoniformes; Salmonidae. The transcript has 2 exons.
CCAGGGAUACUUUGGUGACCAUUCGUCUGCCACGUCAAGCCUGCUGCUAGUCCUCGCUCUACCCCUCAGCGGGAAUUCUCUCGCACUGAGGAAAGAGCCUCUGGACAGCGCUGUGACAACGCUGUUACAACCUCCAGCAUCUCUGCUCCAAUGGACUGCCAUGGCCAAACAACAGGAGGCUACCUGAAUGCAACAUUUUCUCUCAUGUCAGAGGAGAGAGGGAGAGGGGAGAGGGAGACAGGGAGUUGGAGGGUGAAAAAGUGGUAAGAUUCAACUUGGUUGAGAUAACAAAGAUCCUCAACUGGCAAAGGAGACUUCUCUCCCAAGAGAUGCCACAAGGUGAAAGACAGAGAAAGGAGGAAAAGAGGAGCUGGAGAGCGAGAGUCUAUAGACCAACCCAUCUAGAACCCUCAAAACGGACUAGGCAAGACCUCUCCUCCUUUCUCCACUGGGCAGAAAUCCCUCUUCUCUCCUGAGCCCACAGAUUCGGUCAAAUAACUAUUUUGGGUACAGUGCAGAUAUAUGUGAGUAUAUGUACACGUGUUCAGUGUGUACAUGUGUGUGUGUGCAUGUCUGUGCAGUGUGUGUGUUCAGUGCAGUAUGUGUGAGUGUUUAUAUAUAUAUAUAUAUAUAUAUUUAGCUCCUUUACCCCCCCCCCCCUCCCCUCGUGGACCGGCAGCCCGCCCCGCCUGCCCAGUGUUCAGACUACCUGUUCAGGAACUAGUGGUUGUACAGUAGUCUGCACAUUGGUUAGGCUGGGUGGGGAAGCGCGAGAAUCAGGACACUGAGAGACAGCUAACCAGUGGGCAACAGCAGCCAGAAAGACCAUGGCACCACUCUGGGAAAGCCUGGCACAGUCGUAAAUAUCAGACCCACAGGCUCAACCACAGAAGCAGGCCAUGCCCAACUAAAUGCCUGUCUUAAUACUGUUCCAUGUGUUCUGUUGUGUUGAGUUCCUCCAUUGAUGGGCAAAUGUUGUUUUUUAAAUAUAUAAAGAAAUGCACCCGAUAUAAGAGUGAAGACUGAUUAUGUAGCUUUUUACUAGUAAAACAGUCAAAGAUUCAUAUGGACAUUAUAAUGUUUAAUUCCGGUUUUAGCUAUUGGUGAUGCAUUUGAGUUGAUGACUAACUGUAUGUCCUGAGAAGCUGAAAUAAAGUUUUUUGAAGAGCA